RNAcentral lists this small RNA (74 nucleotides) under Sinorhizobium meliloti 2011. Its description in RNAcentral is "putative ncRNA". Lineage: Bacteria; Pseudomonadati; Pseudomonadota; Alphaproteobacteria; Hyphomicrobiales; Rhizobiaceae. The record is from RNAcentral.
GCAAUAUCAGAUGAUCGAACAGUGCCUCUUUGCGUCAGGGCGCCGCGAGAGCGCAGCCGGGCUGGCACUAGCAG